AGAACGAACGCUGGCGGCAUGCCUAACACAUGCAAGUCGAACGCUCUUGGUUUCGGCCAAGGGAGUGGCGCACGGGUGAGUAACGCGUGGGAACCUGCCCUGGAGUGGGGGAUAACCGAGGGAAACCUCGGCUAAUACCGCAUACGACCUGAGGGUGAAAGAUUUAUCGCUCUAGGAGGGGCCCGCGUCGGAUUAGCUAGUUGGUGAGGUAACGGCCCACCAAGGCUAUGAUCCGUAGCUGGUCUGAGAGGAUGAUCAGCCGCACUGGGACUGAGACACGGCCCAGACUCCUACGGGAGGCAGCAGUGGGGAAUAUUGGACAAUGGGCGCAAGCCUGAUCCAGCAAUGCCGCGUGAGUGAUGAAGGCCUUAGGGUUGUAAAGCUCUUUCACACGCGACGAUGAUGACGGUAGCGUGAGAAGAAGCCCCGGCUAACUUCGUGCCAGCAGCCGC
RNAcentral lists this ribosomal RNA (452 nucleotides) under uncultured bacterium. RNAcentral describes it as "SSU rRNA". It matches the Rfam family "Bacterial small subunit ribosomal RNA", at positions 26 to 518 of the family's 1533-position model. The record is from RNAcentral.